Molecule: non-coding RNA, 30 nt
Filed under: Mus musculus (house mouse)
Lineage: Eukaryota; Metazoa; Chordata; Mammalia; Rodentia; Muridae
Source: RNAcentral
UUUUAGGGUGACCUUGUCUUUCAUGCUGUC